GACGAACGCUGGCGGCGUGCUUAACACAUGCAAGUCGAACGGAAAGGCCCUGCUUUUGUGGGGUGCUCGAGUGGCGAACGGGUGAGUAACACGUGAGUAACCUGCCCUUGACUUUGGGAUAACUUCAGGAAACUGGGGCUAAUACCGGAUAGGAGCUCCUGCUGCAUGGUGGGGGUUGGAAAGUUUAGGCGGUUGGGGAUGGACUCGCGGCUUAUCAGCUUGUUGGUUGGGUAGUGGCUUACCAAGGCUUUGACGGGUAGCCGGCCUGAGAGGGUGACCGGACACAUUGGGACUGGGAUGCGACCCAGACUACUACGGGAGGCAGCGGUGGGGAAUAUUGCACAAUGGGCGGAAGCCUGAUGCAGCAACGCCGCGUGCGGGAUGACGGCCUUCGGGUAGUAAACCGCUUUCGCCUGUGACGAAGCGUGAGUGACGGUAAUGGGUAAAGAAGCACCGGCUAACUACGUG
RNAcentral lists this ribosomal RNA (468 nucleotides) under uncultured bacterium. Its description in RNAcentral is "partial 16S ribosomal RNA". It matches the Rfam family "Bacterial small subunit ribosomal RNA", at positions 28 to 507 of the family's 1533-position model. The record is from RNAcentral.